GGGCCCGCACAAGCGGUGGAGUAUGUGGUUUAAUUCGAUGCAACGCGAAGAACCUUACCAGGGUUUGACAUCCUGCGAAUCUCUUGGAAACGAGAGAGUGCCUUCGGGAGCGCAGUGACAGGUGGUGCAUGGCUGUCGUCAGCUCGUGUCGUGAGAUGUUGGGUUAAGUCCCGCAACGAGCGCAACCCACGUCUUUAGUUGCCAGCAUUCAGUUGGGCACUCUAGAGAGACCGCCGGUGAUAAACCGGAGGAAGGUGUGGAUGACGUCAAGUCAUCAUGCCCCUUACACCCUGGGCUACACACGUACUACAAUGCCACGGACAAAGGGCAGCAAACUCGCGAGAGCUAGCAAAUCCCAUAAACCGUGGCUCAGUUCAGAUCGUAGGCUGCAACUCGCCUACGUGAAGGCGGAAUCGCUAGUAAUCG
Molecule: ribosomal RNA, 426 nt
Filed under: uncultured bacterium
Lineage: Bacteria
Description: bacterial SSU rRNA
Rfam family: Bacterial small subunit ribosomal RNA
Source: RNAcentral